RNAcentral lists this ribosomal RNA (253 nucleotides) under uncultured bacterium. RNAcentral's name for it is "partial 16S ribosomal RNA". It matches the Rfam family "Bacterial small subunit ribosomal RNA", at positions 524 to 776 of the family's 1533-position model. The record is from RNAcentral.
UACGUAGGGUGCAAGCGUUGUCCGGAAUUAUUGGGCGUAAAGAGCUCGUAGGCGGUCUGUCGCGUCUGCUGUGAAAACUCGGGGCUUAACCCCGGGCCUGCAGUGGGUACGGGCAGACUAGAGUGCGGUAGGGGAGACUGGAAUUCCUGGUGUAGCGGUGAAAUGCGCAGAUAUUGGGAGGAACACCAGUGGCGAAGGCGGCUACCUGGACCGGUUCUGACGCUGAGGCGCGAAAGCGUGGGUAGCAAACAGG